This 1371-nucleotide ribosomal RNA is filed under the name uncultured bacterium. RNAcentral's name for it is "bacterial SSU rRNA". It matches the Rfam family "Bacterial small subunit ribosomal RNA", at positions 28 to 1381 of the family's 1533-position model. The record is from RNAcentral.
GAUGAACGCUGGCGGCGUGCCUAAUACAUGCAAGUCGAGCGAACGGACGAGAAGCUUGCUUCUCUGAUGUUAGCGGCGGACGGGUGAGUAACACGUGGAUAACCUACCUAUAAGACUGGGAUAACUUCGGGAAACCGGAGCUAAUACCGGAUAAUAUUUUGAACCGCAUGGUUCAAAAGUGAAAGACGGUCUUGCUGUCACUUAUAGAUGGAUCCGCGCUGCAUUAGCUAGUUGGUAAGGUAACGGCUUACCAAGGCAACGAUGCAUAGCCGACCUGAGAGGGUGAUCGGCCACACUGGAACUGAGACACGGUCCAGACUCCUACGGGAGGCAGCAGUAGGGAAUCUUCCGCAAUGGGCGAAAGCCUGACGGAGCAACGCCGCGUGAGUGAUGAAGGUCUUCGGAUCGUAAAACUCUGUUAUUAGGGAAGAACAUAUGUGUAGGUAACUGUGCACAUCUUGACGGUACCUAAUCAGAAAGCCACGGCUAACUACGUGCCAGCAGCCGCGGUAAUACGUAGGUGGCAAGCGUUAUCCGGAAUUAUUGGGCGUAAAGCGCGCGUAGGCGGUUUUUUAGUCUGAUGUGAAAGCCCACGGCUCAACCGUGGAGGGUCAUUGGAAACUGGAAAACUUGAGUGCAGAAGAGGAAAGUGGAAUUCCAUGUGUAGCGGUGAAAUGCGCAGAGAUAUGGAGGAACACCAGUGGCGAAGGCGACUUUCUGGUCUGUAACUGACGCUGAUGUGCGAAAGCGUGGGGAUCAAACAGGAUUAGAUACCCUGGUAGUCCACGCCGUAAACGAUGAGUGCUAAGUGUUAGGGGGUUUCCGCCCCUUAGUGCUGCAGCUAACGCAUUAAGCACUCCGCCUGGGGAGUACGACCGCAAGGUUGAAACUCAAAGGAAUUGACGGGGACCCGCACAAGCGGUGGAGCAUGUGGUUUAAUUCGAAGCAACGCGAAGAACCUUACCAAAUCUUGACAUCCUUUGACAACUCUAGAGAUAGAGCCUUCCCCUUCGGGGGACAAAGUGACAGGUGGUGCAUGGUUGUCGUCAGCUCGUGUCGUGAGAUGUUGGGUUAAGUCCCGCAACGAGCGCAACCCUUAAGCUUAGUUGCCAUCAUUAAGUUGGGCACUCUAAGUUGACUGCCGGUGACAAACCGGAGGAAGGUGGGGAUGACGUCAAAUCAUCAUGCCCCUUAUGAUUUGGGCUACACACGUGCUACAAUGGACAAUACAAAGGGCAGCGAAACCGCGAGGUCAAGCAAAUCCCAUAAAGUUGUUCUCAGUUCGGAUUGUAGUCUGCAACUCGACUACAUGAAGCUGGAAUCGCUAGUAAUCGUAGAUCAGCAUGCUACGGUGAAUACGUUCCCGGGUCU